RNAcentral lists this ribosomal RNA (354 nucleotides) under uncultured Syntrophaceae bacterium. Its description in RNAcentral is "bacterial SSU rRNA". It matches the Rfam family "Bacterial small subunit ribosomal RNA", at positions 97 to 437 of the family's 1533-position model. The record is from RNAcentral. Lineage: Bacteria; Pseudomonadati; Thermodesulfobacteriota; Syntrophia; Syntrophales; Syntrophaceae.
GGCGGACGGGUGAGUAACGCGUGGAUAAUCUGCCCCUCAGUUGGGAAUAACUCAUCGAAAGGUGGGAUAAUACCGAAUAAUGCUGCAUGACCUAGGUCGUGUAGCCAAAGAUGGCCUCUGCUUGCAUGCUGUCGCUGAAGGAUGAGUCCGCGUACCAUUAGCUAGUUGGUAGGGUAAUGGCCUACCAAGGCUACGAUGGUUAGCUGGUCUGAGAGGAUGAUCAGCCACACUGGAACUGAGAUACGGUCCAGACUCCUACGGGAGGCAGCAGUGAGGAAUCUUGCGCAAUGGGGGCAACCCUGACGCAGCAACGCCGCGUGAGUGAAGAAGGCCUUCGGGUCGUAAAGCUCUGUC